RNAcentral lists this non-coding RNA (103 nucleotides) under Leptolinea tardivitalis. Its description in RNAcentral is "SAM-I sequence". It matches the Rfam family "SAM riboswitch aptamer (S box leader)". From Rfam's summary of the family: The SAM riboswitch is found upstream of a number of genes which code for proteins involved in methionine or cysteine biosynthesis in Gram-positive bacteria. The SAM riboswitch acts at the level of transcription termination control. The predicted structure consists of a complex stem-loop region followed by a single stem loop terminator region. Lineage: Bacteria; Bacillati; Chloroflexota; Anaerolineae; Anaerolineales; Anaerolineaceae. The record is from Rfam by way of RNAcentral.
CUCUUAUCCAGAGAGGUGGAGGGACGGGCCCUAUGAUACCUCGACAACCAGCCGCAAGGCAUGGUGUCAAUUCCCGCAGAAGCAGUAUUCUGGGAGAUGAGAG